Molecule: ribosomal RNA, 692 nt
Filed under: uncultured Bacilli bacterium
Lineage: Bacteria; Bacillati; Bacillota; Bacilli
Description: bacterial SSU rRNA
Rfam family: Bacterial small subunit ribosomal RNA
Source: RNAcentral
AGUCGAGCGGACCGACGGGAGCUUGCUCCCUUAGGUCAGCGGCGGACGGGUGAGUAACACGUGGGUAACCUGCCUGUAAGACUGGGAUAACUCCGGGAAACCGGGGCUAAUACCGGAUGCUUGAUUGAACCGCAUGGUUCAAUCAUAAAAGGUGGCUUUUAGCUACCACUUGCAGAUGGACCCGCGGCGCAUUAGCUAGUUGGUGAGGUAACGGCUCACCAAGGCGACGAUGCGUAGCCGACCUGAGAGGGUGAUCGGCCACACUGGGACUGAGACACGGCCCAGACUCCUACGGGAGGCAGCAGUAGGGAAUCUUCCGCAAUGGACGAAAGUCUGACGGAGCAACGCCGCGUGAGUGAUGAAGGUUUUCGGAUCGUAAAACUCUGUUGUUAGGGAAGAACAAGUACCGUUCGAAUAGGGCGGUACCUUGACGGUACCUAACCAGAAAGCCACGGCUAACUACGUGCCAGCAGCCGCGGUAAUACGUAGGUGGCAAGCGUUGUCCGGAAUUAUUGGGCGUAAAGCGCGCGCAGGCGGUUUCUUAAGUCUGAUGUGAAAGCCCCCGGCUCAACCGGGGAGGGUCAUUGGAAACUGGGGAACUUGAGUGCAGAAGAGGAGAGUGGAUUCCACGUGUAGCGGUGAAAUGCGUAGAGAUGUGGAGGAACACCAGUGGCGAAGGCGACUCUCUGGUC